RNAcentral lists this ribosomal RNA (345 nucleotides) under uncultured Aquabacterium sp. RNAcentral's name for it is "bacterial SSU rRNA". It matches the Rfam family "Bacterial small subunit ribosomal RNA", at positions 1033 to 1382 of the family's 1533-position model. Lineage: Bacteria; Pseudomonadati; Pseudomonadota; Betaproteobacteria; Burkholderiales; Sphaerotilaceae. The record is from RNAcentral.
CACAGGUGCUGCAUGGCCGUCGUCAGCUCGUGUCGUGAGAUGUUGGGUUAAGUCCCGCAACGAGCGCAACCCUUGUCAUUAGUUGCUACCGCAAGGAGCACUCUAAUGAGACUGCCGGUGACAAACCGGAGGAAGGUGGGGAUGACGUCAGGUCCUCAUGGCCCUUAUGGGUAGGGCUACACACGUCAUACAAUGGCCGGUACAGAGGGCUGCCAACCCGCGAGGGGGAGCCAAUCCCAGAAAACCGGUCGUAGUCCGGAUCGUAGUCUGCAACUCGACUGCGUGAAGUCGGAAUCGCUAGUAAUCGCGGAUCAGCUUGCCGCGGUGAAUACGUUCCCGGGCCUU